CGAGUGGCUCAGCCAAUACGAGCCACGGCAUACAGCUCAGUAACACGUGGCUAAUCUGCCCUUAGGACGAGAACAACCCCGGGAAACUGGGGCUAACUCUCGAUAGGCGAAGAACUCUGGAAUGAGUCUUCACCUAAAUAGUUCAGCGUUACGCUCGUUGGAUCGCCUAAGGAUGAGGCCGCGACCGAUCAGGUUGUUGGUGAGGUAAUGGCUCACCAAGCCUUUUACCGGUGCGGGCCGUGAGAGCGGGAGCCCGGAGAUGGGCACUGAGACAAGGGCCCAGGCCCUACGGGGCGCAGCAGUCGCGAAAACUUUGCAAUACACGAAAGUGUGACAGGGCUAUCCCGAGUGCCAUCCGCUGAGGAAGGCUUUUACCCAGUCUAGAAAGCUGGGGGAAUAAGGAGAGGGCAAGUCUGGUGUCAGCCGCCGCGGUAAUACCAGCUCUCCGAGUGGUGUGGAUGUUUAUUGGGCCUAAAGCAUCCGUAGCUGGCUAAGUUAGUCCCUUGUUAAAUCCACCGAAUUAAUCGUUGGAUUGCGGGGGAUACUGCUUGGCUAGGGGACGAGAGAGGCAGACGGUAUUUCCGGGGUAGGGGUGAAAUCCUAUAAUCCCGGGAAGACCACCAGUGGCGAAGGCUGUCUGCUAGAACGCGCCCGACGGUGAGGGAUGAAAGCUGGGGGAGCGAACCGGAUUAGAUACCCGGGUAGUCCCAGCUGUAAACGAUGCAGGCUAGGUGUUUGGACGGCCACGUGCCGUUCUAGUGCCGCAGGGAAGCUGUUAAGCCUGCCGCCUGGGGAGUACGAUCGCAAGAUUGAAACUUAA
Molecule: ribosomal RNA, 820 nt
Filed under: uncultured crenarchaeote
Lineage: Archaea; Thermoproteati; Thermoproteota
Description: bacterial SSU rRNA
Rfam family: Archaeal small subunit ribosomal RNA
Source: RNAcentral